Molecule: ribosomal RNA, 261 nt
Filed under: uncultured bacterium
Lineage: Bacteria
Description: partial 16S ribosomal RNA
Rfam family: Bacterial small subunit ribosomal RNA
Source: RNAcentral
UACGGAGGGGGCUAGCGUUGUUCGGAAUUACUGGGCGUAAAGCGCACGUAGGCGGACUGUUAAGUCGGGGGUGAAAUCCUGGGGCUCAACCUCAGAAUUGCCUCCGAUACUGGCAGUCUCGAGUGCGGGAGAGGUGAGUGGAAUUCCCAGUGUAGAGGUGAAAUUCGUAGAUAUUGGGAAGAACACCAGUGGCGAAGGCGGCUCACUGGCCCGUAACUGACGCUGAGGUGCGAAAGCGUGGGAGCAACAGGAGUAGAACCC